Long non-coding RNA from Siniperca chuatsi (mandarin fish), 2088 nucleotides. RefSeq lists it as uncharacterized. The transcript has 4 exons. NCBI's taxonomy places the organism in Eukaryota, Metazoa, Chordata, Actinopteri, Centrarchiformes, Sinipercidae. The record is from RefSeq and is a predicted model, not a curated record.
GUCAUCUAGUUCCAUUAUAUUCAAGACAAGGCAGACAUCUCUAUCGCCAAUAUCUCCAAAACUCGGCAACUCACACUAAAACACUCUAGAUGAAUAAAUAACACUGCAGGAAGCUGAGCAGGUCUCUGUUCUCCAGCUCUUCCACAACUGUAACCAGAGGAGCCCGAAGUGAGACCACACCAAGAAGCUCUGGCAGGAAGGGAUGUGGUCCCAGCUGGGACAGGAAGGAUGCAAAGCCCAGGAAGCUGUGUCUUUCUGUGGCAUCAGCAGAGUCUGUAAAGGGCAAGAAUGAGAGGGAGGACUCGUAGCACCACGUUCCUGUUUUCCAUACGGGCCCUGUAGAGGGACACAGAGGAGUCGGAGCGCAGGGAGAAGGCAACAGGCAGAGGGGUGACCAGGUUGAAGGACUCGGGCAGCCUCUGACGGGGCAAUUCUCUGGGCUGGACAAUGGGGGUGAAAGUGGGUUUGAAGGGCUGCGCUGGGGGGCUGGGCGGAAGAGAAGGCGUGACCACAGACAUGGAGAGGUUUUUGGAGGGUGUCUUACCAUCAAUGCCUUGCAGCGCUCUCCUGGUAGCCAACUUUGAGGCCUGUGGACGGAUGCGAUCGACUUUCUCCGGACAAAAGCGCAGCAAGAAAAUGAAGACCAGAGUGACCAGGAAGCUGGCCAGCAGAAAGAUGGGCACAAUGAUCACCUCCUGCUCAUACACUCGGAUCUCUGCAAACAAGAUCAGACACAAUCUUUGUAAUCACUCAGCAAGUCUGAGAUACAAGGUGGCAGAUGUCGUCUGUUCAUCUGUCAACUUAAGUGACAAGCCUCUAAUGGCCAGACCAGGUUAGUGGCCAAAAUCUUCAAGUUCUGUCUGCUGAUAAAACUUACCACAGAUAGUAUCUCCAUGGUUGCAGUGGAAGUCUGCUUCUGAAAAUGAAGACAUCCUAUCGAAUGUAAAAAGAGAUGAGAAUGAAUAAAUGCUGCUCAGAAUAUCUUAAUCACAUUUGUCCAUUCCUCAUACAACGAUCACACAGUCAAACUUCGGAUUCAGUACGUUUCUAGUAUUUCCACAUGCUUACAGUUGUCAUGUAUAAGCUUCAGGAUAUUUUCUAUUUACAAAAACAAUUUAAGUCUUUGCUGAGGAUAUAGAAAUAGAUGUAGAUGAAUAAAAAACAACAGAUAAAGUGACAGUGGUAGUCCUGAAACCCAUUUUGUCUCUAGGGCUGAAUCUGUGAAUAGUAACAUGACUCUUGCCGGUCUCCAGUAUGAGAAGGUGUCUGUGCGAACAUGUAACUGAGACCAGGAUGUUGUAACACUGUCUCUGAGGUCUCUGUCUCAGAAUAAAAACUCACCGACUUAUAACAUAUCGAUCCCUUUGGUCUUACAGCACAGACCUCUUACAUUGGUCUAUCUUAAGAUAAAGUAAUACUAUAUGUACGGUGGCCCUGAGGUCAAAACAUUUCAUUUCAUUUGUGUUUUGUGAAAUGUUCUUUUGUGCAAUGUUGUUUUGUGAAAUAACACGUUUUGUGAAAUGUCACAUUUUUUUAAAAUGUUGUUUUGUGAAAUGUUGUUGUGUUUUAUGAAAUGUUGUCAUGUUUUGUGAAAUGUUGUUGUGUUGUGACUCUCAGGGCCACCGUAUAUAUGAGCUAGUUUAACCACAACACACAACGUUCACCAAAGCUGCAUACUUUUUUAAAAAAAGUAUCAUCUCUAAACUGAGGAGUCUUUAUUAUAUUUUAUAUCUGAAUUCAGAGCUGCUUUAAAGACACUGCAGCCACACAGAGAAACUCUUCAACCACAUGAUCAUGUGUUUAUGUCAGAUUCAAGAUCUCUAAACCUGUUCAUCUGCAUUUUUGACACAUAAAUGCUAGUGCUGUACUGCACACCCAAAGGGCAAACAGAAAUGGCAAAAUAGCACCGGCUCAUUCGCACAAAGAAAAUGUCAUGAUCAUCACAGCAAGACGGUACCCAGUGUGAAAUACACGCUUUCAUUAGAUUAAUAUCAUGCAUUAGCUCUCUCUACCUCAGAGCUACAUUAACAAUACAUUACAUGACUUUUAAAAAAGUGUAAUAAAGACAUGCAGUGUAUAAAAUCCUUA